UUGUUGUCGAUUGUCACCGAUUUUAGUCGAUUGUCCCCGAUUGUUGUCGAUUGUCACCGAUUUUAGUCGAUUGUCCCCGAUUGUUGUCGAUUGUCACCGAUUUUGGUCGAUUGUCACCGAUUGUUACCGAUUGUCGCCGAUUGUCGCCGAAUGUUGCCGAUUGUCGUCAAAUGUCAGAGAUUGACCGUAAGAUUGAUAAUCUCGUUCAUCGUUAUUACUUGUGCUUCGAACAAGUCUAGACAUAAUAGAUAUUGUUUCGUUUUUUCGUGAAAAAUAAAUUUCAUAUAAUUGCGUCUUUUGAAAUCUGUAGUGAAAGACACAAAGUUACUACUUCUCUGCUACUAAUUUUCAUAUACACGCUUGAAUGAUCUAUUUUGUUUUCAUGAAAUAGCCGAUUAUCUAUUUGCUUAAACCAAAGGAGCAACGACGGUUAAUACCGAUUCUUUAAACGUCUAUUAAAUUUCCCAGAAGUAAUGUCCAGAUGAAAUAUUCCACAUUUUGGAACAUUUAUUUCGUUUCGUCUUGCCUUGACAGGACAAACCUGGUAUAACCUACACAAGUUUAGCUAUAUAAUAGACGCAUAAUGGAGACAAUAUCUUCUUGUUGCACUUGUAGUUUAUAAUCUAUUCAUAUCUAUCGUUAAAAUAAUAUACGCUCCGAACAAACAGUCUUAA
This is a long non-coding RNA of Vespula pensylvanica (western yellowjacket), 674 nucleotides long. RefSeq lists it as uncharacterized. The record is from RefSeq and is a predicted model, not a curated record. Lineage: Eukaryota; Metazoa; Arthropoda; Insecta; Hymenoptera; Vespidae. The transcript is spliced from 2 exons.